GAUGAACGCUGGCGGCGUGCCUAAUACAUGCAAGUCGAGCGAACAGACGAGGAGCUUGCUCCUCUGACGUUAGCGGCGGACGGGUGAGUAACACGUGGAUAACCUACCUAUAAGACUGGGAUAACUUCGGGAAACCGGGGCUAAUACCGGAUAAUAUAUUGAACCGCAUGGUUCAAUAGUGAAAGACGGUUUUGCUGUCACUUAUAGAUGGAUCCGCGCCGCAUUAGCUAGUUGGUAAGGUAACGGCUUACCAAGGCGACGAUGCGUAGCCGACCUGAGAGGAUGAUCAGCCACACUGGAACUGAGACACGGUCCAGACUCCUACGGGAGGCAGCAGUAGGGAAUCUUCCGCAAAGGGCGAAAGCCUGACGGAGCAACGCCGCGUGAGUGAUGAAGGUCUUCGGAUCGUAAAACUCUGUUAUUAGGGAAGAACAAAUGUGUAAGUAACUAUGCACGUCUUGACGGUACCUAAUCAGAAAGCCACGGCUAACUACGUG
RNAcentral lists this ribosomal RNA (497 nucleotides) under uncultured bacterium. Its description in RNAcentral is "partial 16S ribosomal RNA". It matches the Rfam family "Bacterial small subunit ribosomal RNA", at positions 28 to 507 of the family's 1533-position model. The record is from RNAcentral.